Saccostrea cuccullata (small rock oyster) is the source of this 653-nucleotide long non-coding RNA. RefSeq lists it as uncharacterized. Lineage: Eukaryota; Metazoa; Mollusca; Bivalvia; Ostreida; Ostreidae. The transcript is spliced from 3 exons. The record is from RefSeq and is a predicted model, not a curated record.
GCAAAGUUGUUUUGAUGCAUCCUGUGAUGUUUAUUGCAAAAAUAUGUGUGAAGUGACAUAAAUUGGUUGAAAGGAUUCUACAAGAACAGAUUAGGCAUAGUUUUGCGGGCAAAAGUAUAGCUAUAUGUCGUGUUGAUUAGUAUAUUGACCUUGUUGACGUUCUCCCGAAAUGGUACUCGCCUACUGACACCGUUGUGAUCUAUCUCAGAAGUUUAAUUUCUACGGUAAUCCACCAGAGUCCAAGAGUAAACUCUCAGAGAGGGGUGGCAGUCCGAUUUUGUCAGCUUACUCGACUUGGAGAGGGAAGAUAAUGUACAUUUGGACAGUUACAUUUGACCAGAAUGUAUGCGAUGGGCUGCAUCAUGGUUUUGAAGGAAAAGGUUACACUAUUUAUUACAGACAGCAAGAAAACAUCAUUGAACACCACCAACUAAUAAGACUCCAAAGGAAUAAUGGAAAAUAAGAUAUUUAAAGCUGUCAAAAAGUAGAGAUUAGAGUUCAGUGGAUUCCAUGACGGUACUUUGGAUAAUGUUAAUCAGGCAGAAAUUCUUUUCCAAAGGAUCUUAAGUGCUUUUAGAAGAGGCUAAUAAACAAAGGACAGUCACUUACUACAGAAGAGAAGCAGUGGAGAUUAGUAAUAUUCUGAGCGGCAU